AUACCGUAUAACAAUCNAAACCGCAUGGUUUUGAUUUGAAAGGCGCUUUCGGGUGUCGCUGAUGGAUGGACCCGCGGUGCAUUAGCUAGUUGGUGAGGUAACGGCUCACCAAGGCCACGAUGCAUAGCCGACCUGAGAGGGUGAUCGGCCACAUUGGGACUGAGACACGGCCCAAACUCCUACGGGAGGCAGCAGUAGGGAAUCUUCGGCAAUGGACGAAAGUCUGACCGAGCAACGCCGCGUGAGUGAAGAAGGUUUUCGGAUCGUAAAACUCUGUUGUUAGAGAAGAACAAGGAUGAGAGUAACUGUUCAUCCCUUGACGGUAUCUAACCAGAAAGCCACGGCUAACUACGUGCCAGCAGCCGCGGUAAUACGUAGGUGGCAAGCGUUGUCCGGAUUUAUUGGGCGUAAAGCGAGCGCAGGCGGUUUCUUAAGUCUGAUGUGAAAGCCCCCGGCUCAACCGGGGAGGGUCAUUGGAAACUGGGAGACUUGAGUGCAGAAGAGGAGAGUGGAAUUCCAUGUGUAGCGGUGAAAUGCGUAGAUAUAUGGAGGAACACC
This 558-nucleotide ribosomal RNA is filed under the name Enterococcus faecium. Its description in RNAcentral is "bacterial SSU rRNA". It matches the Rfam family "Bacterial small subunit ribosomal RNA", at positions 166 to 710 of the family's 1533-position model. Lineage: Bacteria; Bacillati; Bacillota; Bacilli; Lactobacillales; Enterococcaceae. The record is from RNAcentral.